Molecule: long non-coding RNA, 1080 nt
Filed under: Pectinophora gossypiella (pink bollworm)
Lineage: Eukaryota; Metazoa; Arthropoda; Insecta; Lepidoptera; Gelechiidae
Description: uncharacterized LOC126381691
Source: RNAcentral
UGUCGCGUGGUUCGCUCGCAGCAAGCUGCUCGCGUGUCUUGUUUUCCUGCCAUUUUUUUACCGCGAUAGAAUUUGACCAAGACUUGAAUAGGUCCCGUGAAAUCAAAAAAGUUCUAGGUGCUAUAGUUUUGCCAGGCCGUAGAGUGACCUCUGAUGCGGAGCAGUUUUCCAAGAUGACGUUCCGAUCACACCCCAAUACAUCAUUUUUACCUCGUGAGACAUUUUCUGGAAAAACAAAAAUUUGUAUGGCGGCCAUCUUGUUUUUCGGCCAUUUUGUUUUUUUUUCACUGGCGAUAAAAUUUGACCAAGACUUUAAUAGGCUUCGUGAAAACAAAAAAGUUCCAGGUGCGAUAGUUUCGCCAGGCUGUAGGGUGUCUCCCUGAUGCGGAGCAGCUUUCGAAGAUCGAAAAGUAUUUCCAUACUCAACAUGAUGUUUCGAUCACAUUCCUCAUACAUCAUUUUUACCCCCGAGGCAUUUUCGGGAAAAACGAAAAUUUCGUAUGGCGGCCAUCUUGUUUUUCCGCCAUUUUGGUUUUUUUUCACAGGGGAUUGAAUUUGACCAAGAUUUAAAUAGGUUUCGUGAAAAAAAUAUUGCUCUAGGUUUUAUAGUUUUGCCAGGCCGUAGGGUGUCUCCCUGAUGCGGAGCAGUUUUUCAAGAUCGAGCAGUAUUGAAAUACUCAACAUGACGAUCCGAUCACAUCCCUAUACAUCAUUUUUACCCUCGAGGCAUUUUCAGGAAAAACGAAAAUUUUGUAUGGCGGCCAUCUUGUUUUUCCGCCAUUUUGGUUUUUUUUCACCAGGGAUUAGAUUUGACCAAGAUUUAAAUAUGUUUCGCGAAAGAAAAAUUGCUCCAGGUUUUAUAGUUUUGCCAGGCCGUAGGGUGUCUCCCUGAUGCGGAGCAUAUUUUGAAGAUAGUGAAGUGUUUUCAUACUCCACAAGACGUUCCGAUUACAUCCCCAUACACAGUUUUUACUCCCGAUGCAUUUUCUGAAAAAACAAAAUUUUGUAUGGCGGCCAUCUUGUUUUUCCGCCAUUUUGAUUUUUUUUCAACGGCGAUUGGAUUUGACCAAGAUUUAAUAA